GUGGGGAAUAUUGGGCAAUGGGCGAAAGCCUGACCCAGCAACGCCGCGUGAAGGAAGAAGGUUUUCGGAUCGUAAACUUCUAUCCUUGGUGAAGAUAAUGACGGUAGCCAAGAAGGAAGCCCCGGCUAACUACGUGCCAGCAGCCGCGGUAAUACGUAGGGGGCAAGCGUUGUCCGGAAUGAUUGGGCGUAAAGGGCGCGUAGGCGGCCUGGUAAGUCUGGAGUGAAAGUCCUGCUUUUAAGGUGGGAAUUGCUUUGGAUACUGUCGGGCUUGAGUGCAGGAGAGGUAAGCGGAAUUCCCGGUGUAGCGGUGAAAUGCGUAGAGAUCGGGAGGAACACCAGUGGCGAAGGCGGCUUACUGGACUGUAACUGACGCUGAGGCGCGAAAGUGUGGGGAGCAAGCAGGAUUAGAAACCCUGGUAGUCC
This 425-nucleotide ribosomal RNA is filed under the name uncultured bacterium. RNAcentral describes it as "partial 16S ribosomal RNA". It matches the Rfam family "Bacterial small subunit ribosomal RNA", at positions 354 to 796 of the family's 1533-position model. The record is from RNAcentral.